AGGACGAACGCUGGCGGCGUGCUUAAUACAUGCAAGUCGAACGAGGUCGAUUCGGUGGCAACACUGAUGACUACCGAGUGGCGAACGGGUGCGUAACACGUGAGCAACCUGCCCCGAAGACUGGGAUAGCAGUGGGAAACCGCUGCUAAUACCGGAUGCCCCCACAGACCCGCAUGAGUCUGUGAGGAAAGGUUUUCUGCUUCGGGAGGGGCUCGCGGCCUAUCAGCUUGUUGGUGAGGUAACGGCCCACCAAGGCGACGACGGGUAGCUGGUCUGAGAGGACGAUCAGCCACACUGGGACUGAGACACGGCCCAGACUCCUACGGGAGGCAGCAGUGAGGAAUUUUCCGCAAUGGGCGAAAGCCUGACGGAGCGACGCCGCGUGCACGAGGAAGGUCUUCGGAUCGUAAAGUGCUGUCGAGGGGGACGAUUAUGACGGUACCCCUGGAGGAAGCCCCGGCUAACUACGUGCCAGCAGCCGC
Molecule: ribosomal RNA, 482 nt
Filed under: uncultured bacterium
Lineage: Bacteria
Description: SSU rRNA
Rfam family: Bacterial small subunit ribosomal RNA
Source: RNAcentral